Molecule: ribosomal RNA, 253 nt
Filed under: Mediterraneibacter faecis JCM 15917
Lineage: Bacteria; Bacillati; Bacillota; Clostridia; Lachnospirales; Lachnospiraceae
Description: [Ruminococcus] faecis JCM 15917 partial 16S ribosomal RNA
Rfam family: Bacterial small subunit ribosomal RNA
Source: RNAcentral
UACGUAUGGUGCAAGCGUUAUCCGGAUUUACUGGGUGUAAAGGGAGCGUAGACGGAGUGGCAAGUCUGAUGUGAAAACCUGGGGCUCAACCCCGGGACUGCAUUGGAAACUGUCAAUCUAGAGUACCGGAGAGGUAAGCGGAAUUCCUAGUGUAGCGGUGAAAUGCGUAGAUAUUAGGAGGAACACCAGUGGCGAAGGCGGCUUACUGGACGGUAACUGACGUUGAGGCUCGAAAGCGUGGGGAGCAAACAGG